This 1344-nucleotide long non-coding RNA is filed under the name Monodelphis domestica (gray short-tailed opossum). RNAcentral's name for it is "lncRNA (ENSMODG00000050443.1)". The record is from RNAcentral. Lineage: Eukaryota; Metazoa; Chordata; Mammalia; Didelphimorphia; Didelphidae.
CUUAACUUAUUUGAUUGACGAAGGGAUAAAAUCAGGUAAUUAGUAUAUAAGAAAGUAGGAAGCUAGAGGGCACAAUAGAUAGAGUUCUAGACCUAGAGUUAGGAAGACUUGAAUUCAAAUCAAGUCUCAGACACUGUGUGAUUCUAGGAAAUCACUUAACACUUUUUGCAUCAGUUUCACCAUCUGUAAAAAUAUCUGAAGAAAGAAAGGGCCAACCACUCUGGUAUCUUUGCCAAAAAAACUCCAAAAGGAAUCACAAAGAGUUGUACAACAACUGAAAAAUGACUAAACAGGAACAACAAAAUUAAAAAAUACUCUAGAAAGAAGGUCACAGAUUAUUUCAUUUUAAUAAUUCAGAUUAAUUGUAUAAUUGUAUCUUAAUUGUGUGGGCUUUAAAUAAACACAUUACAAAAAUCUGUUGGUAUUAGAGUUGUAUAAUUAGAUUUUUCUCCCCAGGAGUCUAAAUCACAGCUUCCUAUGUUCUUUCUCAUGUUACAUGCUAAUGUAGGGAGGAUAUAAGUUUUGUGUAGCUCCACCCUCUCUCUCUCUCUCUCUCUCUCUCUCUCUCUCUCUCUCUCUCUCUCUCUCUCUCUCUCUCUCUCUCUCUCUCUCUCUCUCUUUCUUUUCUCAUUAUUAUAUAAGCCUAGAAUAUGUCAAACACAAGAAGGGGAGGGGAGUAGCCAGUCAGUGACUGGGGGCCACUUAGGAGGGCCCAAGGGAAAGAACGCUCCCAGGAAAGAGGGUGGGGUCCAAAGUCUUAAUACAAGAGAGUAAACAGAAAGCCCUGCCAAGGAAAGCCCAGAUCAUGGGGCCCGACAGCCAGAUCCAAAGAGUUAGACAGGAAGCAGAGAAGAAAUUUGUAGCAGAGGUUCAAAGAUGUAGAGAUUGUCUAGAGUUAUAAAGAAUGUAUUUCUAAGCAGAGGAGUAGGUAUGAGUGAGAUGAUAGUUUGCCAUGCAAUUUUGAUGUGAAGGUCACGUUUUCUACAGUGCAAUGGGGGGGGGGGGGUGUCAUACAACAUCCUCCGUGUUCCCAACUGCAGUAGCACUAGAUGAUCUGGAGCAAAACAAUCUUAUUUGCUCUUUCGUCCGUCCUUCCUUCCUUCCUUCCUUCCUUCCUUCCUUCCUUCCUUCCUUCCUUCCUUCCUCUUCCUUCCUUCCUCUUUCUUUCUUUCUCUCUCUUUCUUUCCUUCCUUCCUUUCUUUUUCUUCCUUUCUUCCUUCUUUUCUCUCUUUCCUUUCUUCCUUCCUUCUUUCUUUCUUCCUUUCUUCCUUUCUUCCUUUCUUUCUUUCUUUCUUUCUUUCUUUCUUUCUUUCUUUCUUUCUUUCUUUCUUUCUUUCUUUCUUU